Molecule: unclassified non-coding RNA, 391 nt
Filed under: soil metagenome
Description: partial contains 5.8S ribosomal RNA, internal transcribed spacer 2, and large subunit ribosomal RNA
Rfam family: 5.8S ribosomal RNA (bases 1-122)
Source: RNAcentral
GAUGAAGAACGUAGCGAAAUGCGAUACUUGGUGUGAAUUGCAGAAUCCCGUGAACCAUCGAGUCUUUGAACGCAAGUUGCGCCCGAAGCCAUUAGGCCGAGGGCACGCCUGCCUGGGCGUCACACGUCGUUGCCCCCCCAUCUACUCCUUCGGGAUUGCGGGGGGCGGAUGAUGGCCUCCCGUGCGCCUCGUCGCGCGGUUGGCAUAAAUGCCAAGUCCUCGGCGACGCACGCCACGACAAUCGGUGGUUGCGAAACCUCGGUUGCCCGUCGUGUGCGGUCGUCGCGCAUCGAGGGCUCGAAAAAAUUGCCGGGCUCUGGCUCGGCUUUCAACGCGACCCCAGGUCAGGCGGGGUUACCCGCUGAAUUUAAGCAUAUCAAUAAGCGGAGGA